RNAcentral lists this long non-coding RNA (542 nucleotides) under Setaria italica (foxtail millet). RNAcentral's name for it is "long non-coding RNA (SITA_LNC004889)". The record is from RNAcentral. Lineage: Eukaryota; Viridiplantae; Streptophyta; Magnoliopsida; Poales; Poaceae.
AAGGAUAUCAUCGACGAGCACCACCGCACUGCCGACUUCCUGAGGAAGUAUGAUGAUGCUGUUGACUCCUUUCGAAUUGAAAGGCAGGUUUAUGAAUCUGAGAAGAGCCGCAUGGAGACCGCUUUGUUGUUAUUCUUUAUAGAGCUCAAGGGCCAGGAGGCCAAACUCAGUAGUCAGGUGCUUGAUUGGAGGAAUGCUCACAGUCAUGCUGCCGAUGAGAUUGAGCAACUUAAGGCCCAAUUGACGGAGGCCAGGGAGGACCAUGAGAAGGAGCGGAGUAGUUGGCGAGACUUCGGGUUAUGCUGGCCGAGGCCAUGCUUGCUGUCAGGAGUCAUGAAGCCUCUUUGAAGAAAAAGCCGGAAGAUCUCAAGGAGUUAUCUGACGCAGCGCAGGCCCUAGUUGAUGUGAUGGAGCCCCCCGAGGAAGGAGUAGAGUCCCGUCCCUUAAUUGCAAGAUUGAGGGACGCACCGGCCCAGUUCACCAAUAUGGUCAAGUCUGUUUGUAAGCAAAUGGUGGCGAUCGUGAAUUACUUUUAUCAAAAG